RNAcentral lists this ribosomal RNA (330 nucleotides) under uncultured eukaryote. RNAcentral's name for it is "partial 18S ribosomal RNA". It matches the Rfam family "Eukaryotic small subunit ribosomal RNA", at positions 1470 to 1796 of the family's 1831-position model. The record is from RNAcentral.
CCCUUAGAUGUCCGGGGCUGCACGCGCGCUACACUGUAGAAAGCAGCGUGCUUUAAAACCUUUCCUGAAAAGGAUGGGUAACCCCAGCAAAAUUCUACGUGCUUGGGAUAGAGAUUUGCAAUUUUCUCUCUUGAACGAGGAAUUCCCAGUAAGUGCGAGUCAUCAGCUCGCGUUGAUUACGUCCCUGCCCUUUGUACACACCGCCCGUCGCUACUACCGAUUGGGAAAAUUUUAGAGAGUCCUGGACUGACGAUUGUUCGGCUUCACGGCCUUACUUUCGUCGGGAAAGAAUUCGAUAAUAUUUUUCUAGAGGAAGUAAAAGUCGUAACA